This 198-nucleotide ribosomal RNA is filed under the name uncultured bacterium. RNAcentral's name for it is "partial 16S ribosomal RNA". It matches the Rfam family "Bacterial small subunit ribosomal RNA", at positions 328 to 539 of the family's 1533-position model. The record is from RNAcentral.
ACGCUCGACACCUACGGGAGGCAGCAGGUGGGGAAUAUUGCACAAUGGGGGAAACCCUGAUGCAGCGACGCCGCGUGAAGGAAGAAGUAUCUCGGUAUGUAAACUUCUAUCAGCAGGGAAGAAGUGACGGUACCUGACUAAGAACGCCCCGGCUAACUACGUGCCAGCAGCCGGUAAUCUGAGGCGGGCUGGCAAGGC